GGCGAGUGGCGAACGGGUGAGUAAUACAUCGGAACGUGCCCUGUAGUGGGGGAUAACUAGUCGAAAGAUUAGCUAAUACCGCAUACGACCUGAGGGUGAAAGUGGGGGACCGCAAGGCCUCAUGCUAUAGGAGCGGCCGAUGUCUGAUUAGCUAGUUGGUGAGGUAAAGGCUCACCAAGGCGACGAUCAGUAGCUGGUCUGAGAGGACGAUCAGCCACACUGGGACUGAGACACGGCCCAGACUCCUACGGGAGGCAGCAGUGGGGAAUUUUGGACAAUGGGCGAAAGCCUGAUCCAGCAAUGCCGCGUGUGUGAAGAAGGCCUUCGGGUUGUAAAGCACUUUUGUCCGGAAAGAAAUGGCUCUGGUUAAUACCUGGGGUCGAUGACGGUACCGGAAGAAUAAGGACCGGCUAACUACGUGCCAGCAGCCGCGGUAAUACGUAGGGUCCAAGCGUUAAUCGGAAUUACUGGGCGUAAAGCGUGCGCAGGCGGUUGUGCAAGACCGAUGUGAAAUCCCCGAGCUUAACUUGGGAAUUGCAUUGGUGACUGCACGGCUAGAGUGUGUCAGAGGGGGGUAGAAUUCCACGUGUAGCAGUGAAACGCGUAGAGAUGUGGAGGAAUACCGAUGGCGAAGGCAGCCCCCUGGGAUAACACUGACGCUCAUGCACGAAAGCGUG
RNAcentral lists this ribosomal RNA (677 nucleotides) under uncultured Ralstonia sp. RNAcentral's name for it is "bacterial SSU rRNA". It matches the Rfam family "Bacterial small subunit ribosomal RNA", at positions 90 to 763 of the family's 1533-position model. Lineage: Bacteria; Pseudomonadati; Pseudomonadota; Betaproteobacteria; Burkholderiales; Burkholderiaceae. The record is from RNAcentral.